RNAcentral lists this ribosomal RNA (708 nucleotides) under uncultured bacterium. RNAcentral describes it as "bacterial SSU rRNA". It matches the Rfam family "Bacterial small subunit ribosomal RNA", at positions 60 to 774 of the family's 1533-position model. The record is from RNAcentral.
AGUCGAACGAGGUCUGUAGCAAUACAGAUACUCGUGGCGAACGGGUGCGUAACACGUGGAUAACCUUCCUUCAGGUGGGGAAUAACCUCGCGAAAGCGAGGCUAAUACCGCAUAACAUGACGAUGGCUCAUGCUGUUGUCUUCAAAGCCGCAAGGCGCCAGAAGAGGGAUCCGCGGCCGAUUAGCUUGUUGGCGAGGUAAUGGCUCACCAAGGCAAUGAUCGGUAGCCGGUCUGAGAGGACGAUCGGCCACACUGGAACUGAGACACGGUCCAGACUCCUACGGGAGGCAGCAGUGGGGAAUCUUGCGCAAUGGACGAAAGUCUGACGCAGCAACGCCGCGUGGGGGAUGAAGCUUCUCGGAGUGUAAACCCCUUUCGACCCGGACGAAUGCCCGCAAGGGUUUGACGGUACGGGUAUAAGAAGCCCCGGCUAACUACGUGCCAGCAGCCGCGGUAAAACGUAGGGGGCCAGCGUUGCUCGGAAUUACUGGGCGUAAAGGGUCCGUAGGCGGUGUGGCAAGUCGGAAGUGAAAUCUCUGGGCUUAACUCAGAGGCUGCUUCCGAAACUGCUGUGCUAGAGUGUGAGAGAGGCGAGUGGAAUUGCGGGUGUAGCGGUGAAAUGCGUAGAUAUCCGCAGGAACAUCCGAGGCGAAAGCGGCUCGCUGGAUCACAACUGACGCUGAGGGACGAAAGCUAGGGGAGCAAACA